Molecule: long non-coding RNA, 267 nt
Filed under: Neodiprion pinetum (white pine sawfly)
Lineage: Eukaryota; Metazoa; Arthropoda; Insecta; Hymenoptera; Diprionidae
Description: uncharacterized LOC124221396
Source: RNAcentral
CUCUAUUUAUCCCUUUUGCACGGUCUUGUGUUAAUUUUAUUGAUUUAUAUUAUUCUUUGAGAAUCGACGCUACGCGUCUGGCGCCCAACUUAAUUAUUUUGUUGUAGUUUAAUAUUGCGGAUAAGUAGAGAAUCGCGCCAAAGUGUCAACGGUAAGUCCUCAUCCGAAAGUAACAACAUUUAGCGUUACAAAUUAGCGCUCGACGAGGGGCAGAAAAGACUUAACGUUACAAUGUAUAUAUAUACACAAAAAAUAUAAUAUUAGAAA